This 200-nucleotide long non-coding RNA is filed under the name Solanum tuberosum (potato). RNAcentral describes it as "long non-coding RNA (STUB_LNC003433)". Lineage: Eukaryota; Viridiplantae; Streptophyta; Magnoliopsida; Solanales; Solanaceae. The record is from RNAcentral.
GUAAUUGUGUGCUAUUACUUGGUUGGCUCUGUUGCGAAAUAUAUUUCAUUGGGACAAUGUUGAUCCCUUUAUCUUCAAUUAGUCACUAUAAAAUUAGAAUUCAAUUAUUAGCAUUUAAAAUCAUCGUUCUUAAAUUGAGAACCCAUAAAAUUGGAUCUUGGUUCCACCUCUAAUUAUAAACAUCUCUACUUUUAGGAAGG